Molecule: ribosomal RNA, 394 nt
Filed under: Actinomycetota bacterium
Lineage: Bacteria; Bacillati; Actinomycetota
Description: partial 23S ribosomal RNA
Rfam family: Bacterial large subunit ribosomal RNA
Source: RNAcentral
GCUCGUCGCAUCCUGGGGCUGAAGCCGGUCCCAAGGGUUGGGCUGUUCGCCCAUUAAAGCGGUACGCGAGCUGGGUUUAGAACGUCGUGAGACAGUUCGGUCCCUAUCCGAUGCAGCCGUAGGAGAUCUGAGGAAGGCUGUCCCUAGUACGAGAGGACCGGGACGGACGCAGCUCUCGUGUGCCAGUUGUCCUGCCAAGGGCACCGCUGGUUUGCGACCUGCGGAAGGGAUAAGCGCUGAAAGCAUCUAAGCGCGAAGCUCGUUCCAAGAUUAGAUCUCCCACAGGGUUAACCUGGUAAGGCCCGUGGUUAGACCACCACGUUGAUAGGCCGGAGGUGUAAGCACGGUGACGUGUUCAGCCGACCGGUACUAAUCGGCCGAGGGCUUGGACCUU